UGGGGUUCUGGGCUCCCCUAAACAUACAUGGGGGGAGGGUUUCAGUAGCCCCCACGCCAAGGGCGGGUAGCGUGAGCCUCAAACUCUGGCAACCCCCAUUUCCCUUCAGCUUUUCUAUGCCAUUUACCUGAUUCCGAGCCGACGCCCAGCCCCAGGAACCCCCUGCUCGACCUCUGCCUUCCUGCUCGGCGCCUAAACCCCGCCCCGCACCUAAACCCCGCCCCUACAACCGCAGGGCGCCCUGGGGCGGGAGGGGGAGGCAAGCGCCGAAGGUCUGGGCGGAAUCCGGAAGGGACCAGUUUGGGGGCGAGGGGGCGGAGCCGGGGUCACAGACCAACACCUGGAGCUCUAGGAAGUACUUAGCUCGGUGCAGCGCGCGGGGGCGGGGCCCAGAAAGGAGUGCAAAGCGGGUAAAUUUGCAUAUCCCGCCCCCGUCUGUGAUUGACACCCAGAUAACCCCGCCCCGCGCCCUGGCUACGUUACCCACCCAGAGAGCCCAGCCUCGGACUUAAAUUUCCCAGCCUAAAUCAAGUCCCCGCCCCGCGCCACUAGCAAUCUGGACGAGGCCUGCGUUUUACCGCCGCGGGCGGGUGGACGUCUCUCAGGUUCCUGGAACCGGGACAAUCCUCUCUGGACCUCGGUUUCCCAGUCUGUGAAAAGUGGACAUUAAAAGGACGGACCUCAAAGGAAAGUAGCAAAUGCAUUAUUCACUCACAAAAAACACUUAGUAAGCAUCUACUAGAUUCAUCUCUGCCCUGAUGGAGGCCACAAGCUAGAAGAGGAGACAGACCCAGAAAGAAAUGUAACAUUGCAGUUGUGAUAAAUACUACUGCUACCACCACUACCACUACCACUACUAUUACUACUACAAAGUAGUUCCUGAUCAGAACAGCAAUAAAUAUAGGGAUCUUAGGCUAAAACGGAGGGCAGAAAGGUAAGUUCCCUGAUGAUUUGCCCUUGAGCUAAGCUGACUUAACUAGGUAAAUAGGGAAGAGAAAAGACUCUUAGCAGAUAAUAGCAUAUACAAAGGCCCUGUGGCUGGAAAGAGUGUGGAAAUAUAAGGAACAAAAAGCAGAUCAGUGUGGCCAGAGAAUGAUGCAAGAUUAGCCAGAGAUGGGCUGGGCACAGAUGAAGCAGUCUUUCAGACAGUCGUAGGGGUUUUGUCCCUCUUCCAGAAGCAGAAUUUCCCUAACUCUGGGACAGUGGGCAAAGUGAUUCAAUGUUAUUUAAAUAAUGUAACGAAUCCCUCAGAGUCUCUCCCUUUUCAGCUAGUCUAAGGAUUGUCUUUGGCAAUAAUGUGUCUUUAACCUUUCUAAUCUUCCUUUGUAACAAAGGAAGCUGUCUGGAACCUAACAUUGGCUACUGUUUCAGCAGGGUCUUACGACAGUGUUUCAUUUUCAUUGUAACUUUUAUACACUGUUACCUUCUGAGUAUGGUGAGUGAUUGACAAGUGGGUUAAGUUUAAAAUAUAUAUUACUUAAAUAAUAGUACUGUUGUUAAGCAGAUAUGACAAAAAUCCUGACCCUCGACUGUCUGAAGUUUGGGAAAUUCAAUUCUAAGAGCCAUGGGAAGCCACUGAUUAAUGAGAUAAUAAAUAUUAAGCAUUUAGCACCUGCUUACCCCAGCCAACCUCAUUCACUUACUCAGGACUGGGCUGGGCAUUCAUGGAAUUGACAUUUAUAUGGGGCCAUGGAUGCUAAAUAGAACUUAAAUAUAUCCUUUCAGGAGGUGAGCAGUGCUCUAAAGAAGGCUGAACAGGGUAAAGGGGUAGGUAGCAGAGUGGGGUGCUAUUUUAGAUCAGGUAGCCAAAGAAGGCCUCCCCAGGGAGGUGACAUUUCAGCAGAAAGUGAGGAUGGACUUGUGGAUGUCUGGGAGAAGAGCAUUGCAGGCAGAAGGAACAGCAGGCGCAAAGGUCCUGGGGUUGGAACACACCUGUCCUGUUCUCCAAGCAAAAAGGAGGCCAGUGUAGAUGAAGCAGAGGAAAGCUGGGAUAGUGAAAUGAUCCCGUUUGCAUUUUUAUAAGAUCAGUGCAGCUGCUGCAUAGAAUAGACUGUGGGCGUCAAGGGCAGGGAGGAAGCCACUGCCCUCACCCAGGUGAGAGGUGAAGGCAGCUCACAGCAAGGUGGGAGCCAUGAGGAUGGGGAAAAGCUUGGAGUGGGAUGGAUAGUCAAGUUGACAGCACCUGCGACUGGACGGGGUAUGAAGGAAGGAGAAAAGGGAAGUCAAGGAAGAUUCCUCCUCCGGUGAAAGGCUGGCAGGAAGCAGCAAGAAUCCUCUUUAGGUCCUGCUAGGUUUGGAAUACCUUAGAGCCUCAAGGGGAGACAGAGAGAGAGGACUUGGCCAGACAAGUCUGGAGGUUGGGGGGAGGUCCAGGAUGGAGAGCAAAAUUUGGGAGUCAGCAUAGAGGUAGCAGUUAGGGCCUUAAGACUGAAUAAGCCUACCUAAGGGUGAGUAUAGACAGAGAUGGACCCAGGGCCUGAGGCAGGAACCACAGGUGAGGUGGGAGUGUGAGUGUGGGGGCCUGAAAGCAGGAAGAAUCAGCCCUGUCAAAUCAUUAGCAUUAGACCAGACUCAAGCUGGGAGGGGAGCUCUCGUUCACACUGAGCUACUGGAUGAGGAACCAUUCUUCCAGCUCUCUGGGCUUAGCACAGUGUCUGUACACACUUUCCCAUACAUAUACAUGUACUUGUAUUGCUGUAUGUGCUUUUAUUAUUUUUUUCAAAACAAACAACUUUUUUUAAAUUGAAGUAUAGUUGAUUUACCAUGUUGUGUUUGUUUCAGGUGUACAGCAAAGUGAUUCAGAGAUAUAUAUAGACAUAGAUAGAUGCACCUUUUUUUUUUUAAGUCUUUAUUGAAUUUGUUACAAUAUUUCUUCUGUUUUAUGGGGGGUUUUUUGGCCCUGAGGCAUGUGGGAUCUUAGCUCCCCAACCAGGGAUCGAACCCACAUCCCCUGAAUUGGAAGACGAAGUCUUAACCACUGGACCGCCAGGGAAGUCCCUAGAUAUAUAUUCUUUUUCAAAUUCUUUUCCAUUAUAGGUUAUUACAAGAUAUGAAUAUAGUUUCCUGUGCCAUACAGUAGGUCCUUGCUGUUUAUUUUAUAUAUAGUAGUGAAUAUCUGCUGUAUGUGCUUUUUUAUAAAUUUAUUUAUUU
Long non-coding RNA from Orcinus orca (killer whale), 3150 nucleotides. RefSeq lists it as uncharacterized. The record is from RefSeq and is a predicted model, not a curated record. The transcript has 2 exons. Lineage: Eukaryota; Metazoa; Chordata; Mammalia; Artiodactyla; Delphinidae.